AUUAGCUAGAUGGUAAGGUAACGGCUUACCAUGGCUACGAUGUCUAGGGGUUCUGAGAGGAAGAUCCCCCACACUGGAACUGAGACACGGUCCAGACUCCUACGGGAGGCAGCAGUGAGGAAUAUUGGACAAUGGAUGGAAAUCUGAUCCAGCCAUGCCGCGUGCAGGAAGACGGCCCUAUGGGUUGUAAACUGCUUUUAUACGGGAGCAAUAAGGCCUACGUGUAGGCUGAUGAGAGUACCGUACGAAUAAGGACCGGCUAACUCCGUGCCAGCAGCCGCGGUAAUACGGAGGGUCCGAGCGUUAUCCGGAUUUAUUGGGUUUAAAGGGUGCGUAGGCGGUUUUAUAAGUCAGCGGUGAAAGUUUUCAGCUUAACUGGAAAAAUGCCGUUGAUACUGUAGAGCUAGAAUAUGGUUGCUGUGGGUGGAAUGUGUGGUGUAGCGGUGAAAUGCUUAGAGAUCACACAGAAUAUCGAUUGCGAAGGCAGCUCACAAAGCCAUUAUUGACGCUGAGGCACGAAAGUGUGGGGAUCAAACAGGAUUAGAUACCCUGGUAGUCCACACUGUAAAC
RNAcentral lists this ribosomal RNA (570 nucleotides) under uncultured bacterium. RNAcentral describes it as "bacterial SSU rRNA". It matches the Rfam family "Bacterial small subunit ribosomal RNA", at positions 240 to 807 of the family's 1533-position model. The record is from RNAcentral.